This 327-nucleotide ribosomal RNA is filed under the name uncultured Spirochaetota bacterium. Its description in RNAcentral is "bacterial SSU rRNA". It matches the Rfam family "Bacterial small subunit ribosomal RNA", at positions 29 to 351 of the family's 1533-position model. Lineage: Bacteria; Pseudomonadati; Spirochaetota. The record is from RNAcentral.
AACGAACGCUGGCGGCGCGUUUUAAGCAUGCAAGUCGAACGGUAAUAGGGUGCUUGCACUCUAUGAGAGUGGCGAACGGGUGAGUAACACGUAGGUGAUCUAUCUUGGGGUUUAGGAUAGCCUGUGGAAACACAGGGUAAUACUGGAUACGACCUGUAGACUGAGGUUUACGGGGAAAGCCGCUUAGGCGGCGCCUUAAGGUGAGCCUGCGGCUCAUUAGUUAGUUGGUGGGGUAAUGGCCUACCAAGGCGACGAUGAGUAGCCGGCCUGAGAGGGUGAUCGGCCACACUGGAACUGAGACACGGUCCAGACACCUACGGGUGGCAG